CAAGUCGAACGAGAAAGUCCUUUCGGGGAUGAGUAAAGUGGCAGACGGGUGAGUAACGCGUGAGAAUCUACCCUAAAGUGGAGAAUACCUUCGAGAAAUCGAAGUUAAUACUGCAUACGUCCCUUCGGGGGAGAAAGAUGGCUUAUUUUAGCUGUCGCUUAAGGAUGAGCUUGCGUGCUAUUAGCUAGUUGGUGGGGUAAUGGCCUACCAAGGCGAUGAUGGCUAGUCGGCCUGAGAGGGUGUACGACCACACUGGAACUUAGACACGGUCCAGACUCC
Molecule: ribosomal RNA, 279 nt
Filed under: unidentified marine bacterioplankton
Lineage: Bacteria
Description: partial 16S ribosomal RNA
Rfam family: Bacterial small subunit ribosomal RNA
Source: RNAcentral